This 693-nucleotide ribosomal RNA is filed under the name Kocuria flava. RNAcentral's name for it is "bacterial SSU rRNA". It matches the Rfam family "Bacterial small subunit ribosomal RNA", at positions 747 to 1438 of the family's 1533-position model. Lineage: Bacteria; Bacillati; Actinomycetota; Actinomycetes; Micrococcales; Micrococcaceae. The record is from RNAcentral.
UGAGGAGCGAAAGCAUGGGGAGCGAACAGGAUUAGAUACCUGGUAGUCCAUGCCGUAAACGUUGGGCACUAGGUGUGGGGGACAUUCCACGUUCUCCGCGCCGUAGCUAACGCAUUAAGUGCCCCGCCUGGGGAGUACGGCCGCAAGGCUAAAACUCAAAGGAAUUGACGGGGGCCCGCACAAGCGGCGGAGCAUGCGGAUUAAUUCGAUGCAACGCGAAGAACCUUACCAAGGCUUGACAUUCACCGGACCGCACUGGAGACAGUGCUUCCCUUCGGGGUCGGUGGACAGGUGGUGCAUGGUUGUCGUCAGCUCGUGUCGUGAGAUGUUGGGUUAAGUCCCGCAACGAGCGCAACCCUCGUUCUAUGUUGCCAGCACGUGAUGGUGGGGACUCAUAGGAGACUGCCGGGGUCAACUCGGAGGAAGGUGGGGAUGACGUCAAAUCAUCAUGCCCCUUAUGUCUUGGGCUUCACGCAUGCUACAAUGGCCGGUACAAAGGGUUGCGAUACUGUGAGGUGGAGCUAAUCCCAAAAAGCCGGUCUCAGUUCGGAUUGAGGUCUGCAACUCGACCUCAUGAAGUCGGAGUCGCUAGUAAUCGCAGAUCAGCAACGCUGCGGUGAAUACGUUCCCGGGCCUUGUACACACCGCCCGUCAAGUCACGAAAGUUGGUAACACCCGAAGCCGGUGGCCUAA